UAGUUUCAUAUGCUUUAUUUUUUACUGUAGUAAAUGAAAAAUAUAGCCCCAUCAAACCAGAAAAUUGAAUCUUGCUUGAGGACAAUAAUUAAAAUUCUUCUUAAAUCAUCAAAGUCCAGGGCUUCCUUCAAAUGUAAACUUUUCUUUUUUAAAAAAGUGUGUCCUUGCUAUUUUUACAUACCAUCCGUUAUCCCCAUAAUUACAUAUCACCCUUAAAAUAUGGCAAGAAUCUCAGAAAAAAACAUGGACAUUCUUAGUAGCCUCUGUAAAAUAAUUUAUUUUUAGGUGUAAUAAUUAACAGCAAUAUAUCUAUAGUAUUAAAAUUUACAAAUCAUUGUUAGAACUGAGCAAUUCAUAGGUAACCAAUAAGGGAGGAAAGGAAUUAGAAAGCAACCAAGAAAAACAGCUGUAAGAAUAUGGAGAUAUUCUUCAUAUGCAAUAAGGUGGCAAAUUUAUUCAAAAAAGCAUGAUAAAUAUAAAGGAUGAGUAUAUUAUAAUAUACAUGUGCACAUAUUAAAUGUUUGAAAUCACAAAUUAUGAUUUAUUUUCUCAACUAAACUGUUACUAUAGAAUCAUAAAAAGGAAGAGAAUCUUGAUGAUUUUUCCAUUAGAGUAUACCAUGUUAGAUCUGGCAGAUGACUUUUCACUUUUUAUAGUGCUCCAAAAAUUGGUACACUUCCCUUUGCCUUUUGGAGACAUCACUGACUUUGAUAUUCAGAGUGGUAAAAUCAUGAUAUAAAAAUUCUUGCCCAUUGAAACUCAAUUAUCCUAUUUACUUGAUUUUUAGUCCCUUUCUUCAUUUUCCUUAUUUAGAUAUUAAUCUCUACUAAACAACCAUUACUCUAUUUAAAAAAUUUAAGUCUACAGCUUGAAUAAUCACAGCUCUAUUAAUAUUGGAUAUUAGGACCUCCCCGCAAUUUUUACUCCUAUAUGAUAUCAGAAAUAUUAGUAUCUUCUUCAAGGGAAAUGGGAAAAUUAUGUGAGUUUUAAAAGGGGUUUAUAUUUCUUUCUUAAAUUAGUAUUCAGAGUGCCCCAUAAUUCUGUUCUCAUAUAAGCAUUUCUCCUGUACAAUUUAAAAUCUGUUUUUUGAGAUUAAUUUUUUAAAUGAGUCUUCUUAGAACAUCUUGCUUUGGAGUUUGGGAGUUAAAUCCUUUCAUUAAAUGUUUAAAAAGAAUAUAUAUUCUGAUGUCUUGGGAUAGAACGUUCUAUAAAUGGCAGUUAGGUCAAGAUGGAUGAAAGUAUUGUUCAUGUCUUCUAUAUCCCUACUGAUUUAAGGCUACAGUUUUUAAAGACUGAUAGGGAGGGACUUGACGCCAGAAUCCUGAAGGAUAAAGUAAGGUAAAAAAGUGUGUAGAAAGACAGUAUAGAUCAGUGCUUCUCAAACUUUAAUGUGCAUAUGACUCACCUGGGGAAUUUAUUAAAAUUCAUAUUCUGCAUUUUAUAUCAGAGAUAAAAAAGAAUUCUGUUUGGGCAUAGAAGUUGUUUUCACCUGCCUCUGAGAUACUUGCUUCUAUACUAGCACAAUGGCAGCAUUGUUGGUUGUUCACCCCAUCCCCAUUCUUCUCUUUUUCCUAACAGCAACCCUUUUUUUAUUUGGAGUGGCAAAAUGUCACUAUAAAAGGAAAAAAAUCCCUCACCUUCCUAGCCUCCCUUGUAGUUAGGGUAACCAUAUGACAAAGAUCUGGCCAAUGGCAUUCAAGCAGUAUAUUUUGCCAGUAUAGUCUGCUGGUUAUAGUUGGGAAAGCAUUUAUUUUUCCCAUAUGAUAAUCUCACUUUCCUAUUUCAUCUUUCUUUAUUCUAAUUAGAUGGAAAAUAUGAGUCACGAGAUGACAGGCAAAUUAUUAGAACAAAAGGAUGGCAAAGAGAAAAUAGUGGCCUGGGUACUGGGUCACUUCUUUGAGUAGGUGCCCCAGUCUGAACUGCCUUGCUUUUCACUUUUCUGUUCUUUUCUCUCGAGAUAAAUGAACUCCUCCUGCCUGUUAAAGCCACUGGCAGUCAGAGUUUCCAGUGCUUAUAGCCAAAUACCAUUCUAACUGAUGUACUCACCAAUAAUAAUCGUAACUUCCUUUCAUAUGACACUUCAUGGUUUCUUCAUCAGCAUUAUGUGUGACACAAGCAAAAACAAAAACAAAAAAACUGCCAAUGUAUCUAUUUCAAGACAUCCCCAGAAUUCUGUUAUUAAAUAGCAUUGAUGAGGCAGUCAGCCAGAAUGUUUAAGCUGUCCUAAAUUACUGCCUCCUCUGUGUUUAGGGAGUCUGCUCUUGGUCUUACAAGUCCAAAAGCAGAAUAUUACAAAUUCACAUAGAAGUGAUCAGGAUCUAGAGACUUGAUUUAUGCCAUGCAGAUUCACAGGGCAUUUGUUUAUAAAAUUUGUGCUGGAAGAUUACUUGUGAACUAGGGCCAAACCCUUAAUUAUGACUAGGGAAACCCAGAAGAUAAAGUUGCAUUAAAAGCCUGCUUGAUGGAAACAGAAACAUACAAAAGAUGGCCUUACAGGGAAAAAGUUAAAGUGUUACCACAAAUGUAUACAUGAAAUGACCAAUAAUUUUAUUUUAUAUUUCAAAUAACUAGAAUUGUACAGAGUUUAAUUUUACAGCUUUAGGGCAAGGAUAAACUCAUUUUUAUUUUUGCAGUAAAAGGUAUAAAUAUUGAAAAUUAUGUAGGUUUAAAACUUUACUAUGAUAUAGACACAUUCUCAAAUUAAUGAAUUUUACUGAGCUUUUUAUAUCAAACUUACUGAUAUUUAAUGCAAAAUAAUAAAUAUUGAGAUUCUUGGUUGUACAUUAUAAAAUGCAUCACAGAGCGAUUUAUUGAUGCAAAGGAACCGUUUUGGCUCAUGUAAGUGAAAAGUCUAGGAGUCACAUCUUUAGGCAUCGCUGGAUCCAGGUGCUGAAAUGAUGUCAUCAGGCCCAAAAUGUCUCUUUAUUGCUUGAUUCUGCUUUCCUGAGUUGGUAUCAACUAGGAGACUCUCUCUACAUGCUCCAUGGCAGCUCCAGGCUCACACAUACUUAGUAUUAAGAUUUUCUCCUCUUCUUUAAUAUAAAGGAAAUUCAGCUAGAUGAUCUUUAGUUCAAAAUUCUGUGAUAUAUAAAUAACUCGAAAUAACUGCUAACAGUUAAUGAAACAUCUGAUUCAGUAAAGAUAAUGGUUAUUUACAAUUGAGUAUUGCAUAUUAAAAAGUUCAUUAAAGGUUUAUUUUUAUAGUUAUUUCAAAUUUGCCUUUUGCAUUUUUAGUAACUAUGAGUGAUACAAGCAAAACUACAACCUAGCACAAGUUGAAGUAUCACAAAUUUCAAGUCAAUUGCUACCAAAUUAGAUUUUAAUAUAAUUUAGAUACUAAUAUUAGUGUAUAUGUGAAAAGUGUUUGCUAAUGGGAAAUUUAGCCCAUUAAUUGUCAAUCAACAGUCAAGAUUUAGAAACCUCCUUUUUUACAAGAAACAAGUAGAAACUGGGAUGGGAGAAUAACAUUAGCAAUUGCAAACCUCAGUUCGUUCCAUUAAAAUGUUGAUUGCCUUGGGAAUAGAUGCUGUCACAGGAGAAAAAAGUGUAAAUUCAAACACUUAAGGAAUAAACUCUUAUAAAGUACAAUGUGAUUUAUCAAUUAAUUAAAUUUGAAUUCCAUGGAAUGAAAUAUAAGUCAACAAGUAUGACAGUUUGCUUGUUUAUUAUGGAAGAAUCAUUAAUAAUUUGAUAAUUAAAUGGUCCUGAAUGGUUAGCCAUGUUCUCCGCAUUUAAAUAAAUAGUAUAAACAUAAAUGAAAAUAUUAAAGUAAUUUCAACGUGAUAGAGACCACUUAUUUUUAGUUCAGGUAGAGUUCCAACCUAAUGGUAAUUAAGAUUCCAGAUCCGAAAGAUGUCAUGUGAAUAUUGCUCUGAAAAACCAAAAUUAAAGCUUUCUUAAAGAUGCUGUGUAGGGCUGAGAGGUUUUUCACUUGUACCAGUGAGAGCUGCAUCAUUAAUAGUCUUCAAAUUCAGCAAGUUCUGCCUCUAGAGAGCACCAGAGCAGCUACUUAUGAUUUGUUUCAUGACUCUGAAACUAUUACUCCCUCCAAUGGCUCUACAAAGCCAAUAUAAUGUGCACUUGGAUACCUAGUCCCUCAUGGCUACUGCACAAUGCUUAGGUUGUUUAUAUUUGGAAGUCAGAAAAACAUGUUGCUUGAAAGGCAUUAAGAUGCAUGGGGUCACUUAAAGCUAUUGACUAUAUUUUCAUUCUCUGUUGGCACUUAGGGAAGGCAUUUCCAGAUAAAUGUCUUCGGUAUGGCUAGUCAUUAGUUCUCUAAUCUGUAAUUUAGACACUGCUGUCAAACUAAAACAUCCAGUCCUUUGUUAAGCUCUGUUUUUUAUCACUUGCCCUAAGCUAUGAGCAAAAUGCCUACAUUGACAAUAACACAUUUAUUAAAUUGCUAUAUCAACGUAUUCACCACUCAGUCCAGCCUAGUGUUGCUAUUAAACUUUAGAUGUCUCUCCUAUGGGCUCUCAUAUCACCCAAUACAUAUCUUCACCAUGUCAGUAUUUACUUGCUGGGGAGGUGGCCUUACCCUACACUUGAAUUUCUCAAAGCCUGUCUUAAAGACUAGUAUCUUUUAAGUCUUUGGUUACAUCUAAGUUCCCAGCACUUAGCAGUGUCUGGCAUUUGGUAACUCUCAUUGUUGAACAGAUUGUUGCAAAGUUACUUGUUUUCCUUCCAUGGCACCAACCUUAAAGGUUAGAAUCACCAUUCCAAAAUUUCCUUUCCAUAAAUUUAUGUACAUCUUUUGAAACUCUGUACUUCCAGCCUUUAUCAUAUCUGAAAAUCUGACAUGAAAAUGUGUCAGCUCAGUUUAAUUACUGCAAUAGCUUCCUAACUUGAAACAAUUUGCCUCCAGUUUCUCCUUCAGGUUACCAAUUCUGUUCAAUGCAUCCAAAUUCAUGUUCCCUUAAACGUCUUAGAUUUUUAAUCCCCUAAAAUCAACUUGCUGCUCUAAGAAUAAAGUAUUAACUUUGCACUAGUAUUGAAGGCCAUCUCUUCCCUUCUCACUAAUUUUCAAUGAAAAUUUUAUUUAGAUAGUGAGUUGGGGGUCCCCAAGAUCAUACUGAGGUUCAUUGAUACACUUGGAAUCAUAGGACUCAGAAAAGCUGCUAUGCUCCCAGUUGCAGAUUAUAGUGAGAGGAUAUAGAUUAAAAUCAGUAAAUGGAAAAGGUGUGCAGGGUGAAAAUCAGGAGAAACCAGGCACAAACUUCAAGAUGUCCUCUCCCAGUGGAGCUGCACAGACAGCACCUAGUUCAGCAACGGUGUUUACCAACACAUGCAAAGUAUUGCUAAUAAGCUCUCUUGAGCCUUGGUGUUCAGGGUUUUUAUGAGGGUUCAGUCACAUAAAUAUUCAGUUCCCUCAUAACUGACCUUAGCUCCUGAAUCUCGUUUCCCAGAGCUUAAACUGUAACAGCAAGGCCUAUGGUCUCAGGCAUACAAAAGCACUCUUAACAGGUAAGACAUCCCAAGGACUCAAGAGAUUUUCUUCCAGGAACUGGUGAAGGACAGGUCCUUUCUUUGCAAUAAAAAGGAUUUGAGCCUUUACUGUACAGAGAGGUCAGUCUACUCCUUAUUACUCAACCACAUCUUACUCCUUCUUGCCUUCCUGUCUGCCAAUUUGAAGUUUUCCUAACCAUCUAUGGAAAUCCUUACUAUCCUUAGGGUCAAGCACAAGUCAUCCAUUUCCAUGAAGAUUCUCCUCCAAUCUCUCCCAUAUUGCUAUGCAUAGAGGAAAAUGCAUCUUUGCCAUGCAUGGGAAGCUUUUAUAUAUUGCCUUCAAACACCAGUUUACCGGGCAUGUCAUCUCUGUUACUGUCAUGCAGUAAAUACUCAGGAAAUGAAGGAUUACUAAUGAGUUGUUAAGGUUUAUUCUUCUUUCUUUAAUGUAGAAUUUCAUUUGACCUAAAAUUAUCCUUCCAAUCUUCAUAGAAUAUUUGGUUUUAAUAUACAAAAUUAAAUAUGCAAGCUCUUAUCCAUUCUUCAUUUCAGAUCUCUGGCAUAUUCUCAUUUCUCAUUUAUCUUUUCACACCAAAGAAAUCUAACCUUUUUAUAACUUAAUCACUUUGACUCUGGUUGCUCCUUUCUGUACUUUCUCUGCCUCGUGUUACUUUUAAAAAUUUGAUCAAAUUUUUAAUUUUAAAAUAUGUGAUUAAAAACAUCACAUUACCUUUGCACCAGGGAAGCAUACUUUCAUUUACAAUAAAUUUCCAGUCCUGUCCAGAAUUUUCAUAGUUUUUCUUUUCACCAAAAUUAUCAGGGAAUGCUAUCAAUUACUUCUUAGUACUUUUCCUAGGCCACAAUAAAUAAUUUGGAGUCCAUCAUUCAAUAUCAGGAUAAUUGUUAGCUAUCAUUAAUAUUGACAAAUUAGUAUGUUCUAGGGAGUGCUAACUGCUUAUCUUAAUCUUGACAGUACAAGGAAGCAGGUACUCAUUUUCAUAGCAACUAAGACAUGGUAAGAUUAAUAUGCUAAGCUCUGCAAACUAAGUAUGACUCCAGAGUCUGUGCCUUUCACUGCCAUGCUACACUGGACUAGCCCAAGACCCUAAUCAACAAUUUCCUUUUAAAAAUCAUACCUCCUAUGAGUGUGAAUUGAAGUGUCUCUGUAAUUAGCAGAAUCACAAUUAAAAUAAAGCUUAUCCAAGUCAGAUUCAGAGAGCUAUUUUUUAAAAUAAAAAUUUAAAUUUUAAAAUAAAAAAUUUAACUUUUAACUAUCAUUGUGAUCACUUUCAGGGCAUUUAUUUUAAAAUGUGAAAUAAGCCAUAGUGCAGCAUUUUCUGGCAACUUGUAUCAGUUAAUGAGUUUUCUAGAGUAUGAUUUAUUAUAAUCAUUUUGUUGAUAUGAGAUGAAACAUGAUAGCUUGUGCAUAUUUUCAUAUAUCAAACAGAAACAUAUUAGUUUCCUGCCUGUUCCCCACCCCAACACACACUAGUUUUUAAUACAAGACACAAUGUAUUGUGUCCCUGGAGUUGUCUCCCCACCCACCCUGACUCCUGGAUUCUUUUUAACGUAUUUCAAAUGUAAUAACAAUUUGGUACCAUACUAAUUAUAUGGCAUUUGUAAAGCCAGUAUAUGUGGAAAAAAAAAAAAAACCUACAUAAUAGCAAAAUAUAUGCAGUGUAAUUGAACAUUACCCUAAAGAGAAGAGAGAAAGCGUAUCAUAUCCUUGUAGGGACAUUGAUGGGAAUUUGAUACCAGUUGUAGCAAUGCUUGAUCUGUGCCAUUUCUAACAAGUAAUACUCUGUAAAAUAAAAGGACUUAGGCUGGGCGUGGUGGUUCAUGCCUGUAAUUCCAGCACUUUGGGACGCCGAAGUGGGCAGAUCACGAGGUCAGGAGAUCAAGACCAUCCUGGCCAACAUGGUGAAACCCCGUCUCUACUAAAACAAAAAAAUUAGCCAGGUGUGGUGGCGCGUGCCUGUAGUCCCAGCUACUCGGGAGGCUAAGGCAGGGGAAUCGCUUGAACCCAGGAUGCGGAGGUUGUAGUGAGCCAAGAUUGCACCACUGCACUCCAGCCUGGCGAAAGAGCAAGAAGUGUCUCAAAAAUAAAUAAAUAAAUAAAUAAAUAAAUAAAUAAAUAAAUAAAUAAAAAUUAAAGGACUUAAAAAAAAAGAAACAUUAAAAAAAGAAGGAAAUGAAAAGGCAUAACAAAAAACUAACACAAAAAUUGAGUUAAAAAAAAACUUAAUGCCAAAACCAAGAAGAGGUCGGAAAGGUAUCUGGAAGAACAAUUCUCAGCUCCUUCAUUCCCCAGAUGAUGCCAGUAAGUAGGAGAUGGCAUACUGUUAACUAAUGAAAGAAAUUCUCCUGGUGAAGUCCUAUUUCGCCUUUAUCCUUAGAAUUAUGCAACCUACAGACUUAGCAAUCUUAAAAGAAAAAAAAUAGAUGGGGAAAAUAAUUGACUUGAAUUAUAUUUAUUUUAAAAAGACUGUUUCUAGUUGUUUUGAAUGAAUCCAGAACCCAUAAAUUAUAUCCCAGAAUACUGAAAGAAUCUGAUGAAAUAACACGACCUUCGACAGUAAAUCUGAGUCAAGAUGAUUUGGUUGAGGUAGAUACAGACAGAUAGAAGCUUCACAAGCACAAGAAUACUGUUCCCUGGCCUAUCCACAGCUUUGAGCAUACUGCCUGGCAUGUAUUAAUGGCUUGAUAAGUGUCCCUGACAAAAUUCCAAAAUCUAUUUUUUUGAAGUUUGUGGACAGGUAGAAAAGAAAGCAAUGGCCACUAGGAGGCAGCAUCGAUUUAUGAAGACUAAGCACGUCUCAUGGUUUCCCACUAUACAGAGGAAUGAAGAUCACAUCAAAGCAUCUGACCAAAUCUCACAUCAAUAAUCCCUAUAAACAGGAUGGAGCAUAAGUACUAGAUAUCUCACAAUUAAAUGAAUUUGUCGCUAGUUUAAUGGGAGCACUAUGCUAUUUAAUGGGUAUCAAUCUAAAUGGAGAUAGCUUUACCUUAUCAACAUUUUUUUCAGUAUUACAUGUAGACAGAAAGGAAUUUUUAUCAAAUUUGCCCAUGACUUAAAACUGAGAUUCACAGCCCAAGUUUUUUUAAACCCAAAAUAAGUAAAAUUUAAUUUAAUAAAAUUAAAUCUAUAUGAGGUAAUGACUAUACAAGUACAGAAUGGAGAGGUUCCUCUUUACAUGUGAAAGACCUUUGAGUUUACACUUUCAAACUCCUUGAGUCAAGAAUAUUCGCUGACAUAGAAACAAAUUUUAUUGUACAUUUCUUAAUACUGUAAACUUACACGUACUUCCCACAUAACCUCAAUUCCUCAUCUAUUCUCUUGUAGAGAUAUGGUAGUCAGUGGGACAGACGCUUAAAAAGCUGACAAGACCUAUAUUUUUAACUUUUAUACAUUGGCCUUUGACUACCUGGAAUAGUAUUAAAUAGCUGUUUACGGUUAUGUCCUCAAAAUCAUACCAAAUGUUUAAAAUGCAGUCUAAUGCUACUUUUUACAACCCAAGAAGAUAGCUGUUAUUAUCCUUAUCUUGAAUAAGAUCCUGUGUUUGAAAUCAAUUCUGUGGGGUUAGAGACUCAUCCCAGCAGGUAAGUGCUAGGUCUUUUAAUAAUUCCACCACUUUCCUUCGCUGUUUAGUGACUAUUCCUUUUUGCUCCAUUACACAGCUGCUGAACCACAACGAGUAGGGCCCAAGAAAAUUUUUAAAGCACCUUAGGUAAUUGUAAUGAAAACGGCCCACAAUGCAGGUUUGGGAACUGCGUUAGAUCAUCUGAAUAUUUCUCAUCAGGCUUCUGAUAGAUGCUUGAUAGCAGAUUUUAAGACUAUACUUUCUGAUAACAGGCAGUAUUGUAUAAAAAGCUGAAAGACCUAGUUGAAUUUGAGCACUGUUACUUACUAGUGCUACCUCUUACAAGUCACUUGACCCUGCUGAGCCUCAAUUUUCCCAUAUAUAAAAUGAUCAUUGUAAGCACUCAGCACCAGGCCUGGCACAUGAUAUGCACUCAAUAAAUACUACCUACUAAUUUUGAAGAUGAAGGCCCAGAAUAUACUAACUAUAUUGUCAGUUAAGAGUUGCCUUACAACCCUGGCUACUAAAUUGUCUGGUUCACAUGCCAUUACAAAGGGCCUUUACUUUCUCAUUCCCAUGAUGAAUCUCAGGUUACACGGCUGAGGAAAAUGUUGACAUCGUUAUUCUGUAUUUGCAUUAAAUACCAUUUAAAAGUUGUUUUUAUCAUACUUAUAUCUCACAUUAUUACCUUAAAAAUUCCGAAGGAUGUUAUAAAGUUGUUAAACAGGAUGUUUAAGCAAAUAUUAGUAAAACUUUCUCUCUUGCUCUUCUGGGAUCAAGAUUUGUAAUAUUUAGCCAAAACUGUCAGCAUGUGAGGCCAAGUUACCAAAGUGCUUUGACAUAAAAGCAAUGUUAUUUUAAACUAUUAGUUUAGAUAGUAUCUUGUCAGUUAAAAAAAAAAAAGUCCCUUUUGCAGUUAAUUGCCCUUUCCAAAUAACUUUAAUGAAAAUAUCUUGCCAAGAAACAUCUCUUUGAUUCAUUAAGCUGGGUUUAGAUUGUGCCUGAGUCACAAAGCACAGAGGUAAUUACAGGUUGAAAUUGAUUUGCGCCUCUUUAUAAAUAAGAACUGAUUAUAGAAUAAAUGUCUCAUUAAAUAUAAAAUAUUGACACUGUAUAUUAAUUAUGUUACUACUCAUGGUUGUGGCUCCCUUACAAUUCUCAUGCAAAAAUAAAUCCAAUUUUAAUCGGUUGUGAGAAAACAGUCCACCAUGUGCUUGUAUCCAGGAAUAAAGAAUUACAUAGAUUAUCUGGCAUAUUGUCAUCACAUCCUCUGUAACUAUUCAUAAAAACAAUAAUUCACAUUUUGGGAAUGCUUUUUCCAACAUCAAUCAGGAAAAUACAGCUUUAUAAGGUGUUUCAGAUUGCAAGAAUACAUCACAUUAGAAACCCAUUAUCAUGAGGGACAGGACUGGUUUUUAUUUGUUUAUGUGUAAUGUGUUGAUAUGCCAAGUAUUUUGAGAAAAGAUCUGACUCUGGACUUCAUUUGUACUGUUAGAAUGCAUUUUUCUUAGCAACUGAACAAUGUGUAUUCUUAUUUAAUUUUUGGAAUUACUUUACCAAUUCAAAAUGCCAUAUACUACAAUAUUUCAUUCACAGUCCCUAAAUUUGCCUGUUUGCCUUACCCACUUUCCAUCAUUUUAUUAAUAAAUUGAUUAUAAAACAUUAAUGUGUUCAUAUUACUUUCAUACCUAACCA
Molecule: long non-coding RNA, 10721 nt
Filed under: Homo sapiens (human)
Lineage: Eukaryota; Metazoa; Chordata; Mammalia; Primates; Hominidae
Description: HSALNT0127895
Source: RNAcentral